UGAUAGGUCCGAGGUGGAAGCGUGGUGACACGUGGAGCUGACGGAUACUAAUAGAUCGAGGACUUAACUAACUU
This 74-nucleotide ribosomal RNA is filed under the name Ornithinibacillus hominis. RNAcentral's name for it is "partial 23S ribosomal RNA". Lineage: Bacteria; Bacillati; Bacillota; Bacilli; Caryophanales; Bacillaceae. The record is from RNAcentral.